CGGCAAGUGCAGAGGACGAUGCACAGAUCCUCGGACAUGUUUCAUCUGAAAUCGAGCCUAGUGGAGCGAUGGCUUCUACAACUGACUAACAACAUAACUGACAACUAAACCACCAUAUCCUGAUAUCGUUUCCAGUGACAUGAAAGACGACGUGGAAAAAAAACUAAUCUGUAAUAGAGUGUGAUCAUUCCCAGGCUUAUCAGUAAAUUCCAG
RNAcentral lists this long non-coding RNA (213 nucleotides) under Mytilus galloprovincialis (Mediterranean mussel). Lineage: Eukaryota; Metazoa; Mollusca; Bivalvia; Mytilida; Mytilidae. The record is from RNAcentral.